This 106-nucleotide non-coding RNA is filed under the name Acetobacteraceae bacterium AT-5844. Its description in RNAcentral is "TPP riboswitch aptamer (THI element)". It matches the Rfam family "TPP riboswitch aptamer (THI element)". From Rfam's summary of the family: Vitamin B(1) in its active form thiamin pyrophosphate (TPP) is an essential coenzyme that is synthesised by coupling of pyrimidine and thiazole moieties in bacteria. The previously detected thiamin-regulatory element, thi box was extended, resulting in a new, highly conserved RNA secondary structure, the THI element, which is widely distributed in eubacteria and also occurs in some archaea. Analysis of operon structures identified a large number of new candidate thiamin-regulated genes, mostly transporters, in various prokaryotic organisms. Lineage: Bacteria; Pseudomonadati; Pseudomonadota; Alphaproteobacteria; Acetobacterales; Acetobacteraceae. RNAcentral also lists the same sequence under 1 other name. The record is from Rfam by way of RNAcentral.
UCACUAUUCCUGGGGUGCCCGCGACGCGUGGGCUGAGACGGCAGGAGCCGAACCCAUCGAACCUGAUCCGGGUCAUACCGGCGGAGGGAGGAAGCAGCAGCCGUGG